GAGAGGGCUAUAAAGAACUGCUAAUUCAUAAACCUGACACUAACCAUUCAGACCUUUCA
RNAcentral lists this transfer RNA (59 nucleotides) under Brookesia decaryi (spiny leaf chameleon). RNAcentral's name for it is "tRNA-Ser specifying AGY codons". Lineage: Eukaryota; Metazoa; Chordata; Lepidosauria; Squamata; Chamaeleonidae. The record is from RNAcentral.